AUUGAACGCUGGCGGCAGGCCUAACACAUGCAAGUCGAGCGGAUGAAGGGAGCUUGCUCCUGGAUUCAGCGGCUGACGGGUGAGUAAUGCCUAGGAAUCUGCCUGGUAGUGGGGGAUAACGUCCGGAAACGGGCGCUAAUACCGCAUACGUCCUGAGGGAGAAAGUGGGGGAUCUUCGGACCUCACGCUAUCAGAUGAGCCUCGGUCGGAUUAGCUAGUUGGUGGGGUAAAGGCCUACCAAGGCGACGAUCCGUAACUGGUCUGAGAGGAUGAUCAGUCACACUGGAACUGAGACACGGUCCAGACGCCUUGGGGAGGCAGCAGUGGGGAAUAUUGGACCAAGGGCGAAAGCCUGAUCCAGCCAUGCCGCGUGUGUGAAGAAGGUCUUCGGAUUGUAAAGCACUUUAAGUUGGGAGGAAGGGCAGUAAGUUAAUCCCUUGCUGUUUUGACGUCACCAACAGAAUAAGCACCGGCUAACCUCGUG
RNAcentral lists this ribosomal RNA (484 nucleotides) under uncultured bacterium. RNAcentral's name for it is "partial 16S ribosomal RNA". It matches the Rfam family "Bacterial small subunit ribosomal RNA", at positions 30 to 507 of the family's 1533-position model. The record is from RNAcentral.